RNAcentral lists this ribosomal RNA (253 nucleotides) under uncultured bacterium. RNAcentral's name for it is "partial 16S ribosomal RNA". It matches the Rfam family "Bacterial small subunit ribosomal RNA", at positions 524 to 776 of the family's 1533-position model. The record is from RNAcentral.
UACGUAGGGUCCAAGCGUUAUCCGGAAUCACUGGGCGUAAAGCGUGCGUAGGCGGCGUGUUAAGUGUGAUGUUAAAUCGUGGGGCUCAACCCUGUCGUUGCAUCGCAUACUGGCAUGCUUGAGGAAGGCAGAGGCAAGUGGAAUUGGCAGUGUAGCAGUGAGAUGCGUAGAGAUUGCCAGGAACACCAAUGGCGAAGGCAGCUUGCUGGGCCUUUUCUGACGCUGAGGUACGAAAGCGUGGGGAGCAAACAGG